ACACCGGCAGCCCAAGUGGUGGCCAUUUUUAUUGGGCCUAAAGCGUUCGUAGCCGGCCUGAUAAGUCUCUGGUGAAAUCCCGCAGCUUAACUGUGGGAAUUGCUGGAGAUACUAUCAGGCUUGAGGUCGGGAGAGGUUAGAGGUACUCCCAGGGUAGGGGUGAAAUCCUAUAAUCCUGGGAGGACCACCUGUGGCGAAGGCGUCUAACUGGAACGAACCUGACGGUGAGUAACGAAAGCCAGGGGCGCGAACCGGAUUAGAAACCCGGGUAGUCCUGGCCGUAAACGAUGUGGACUUGGUGUUGGGAUGGCCUCGAGCUGCCCCAGUGCCGAAGGGAAGCUGUUAAGUCCACCGCCUGGGAAGUACGGUCGCAAGACUGAAA
RNAcentral lists this ribosomal RNA (382 nucleotides) under uncultured bacterium. Its description in RNAcentral is "partial 16S ribosomal RNA". It matches the Rfam family "Archaeal small subunit ribosomal RNA", at positions 473 to 854 of the family's 1478-position model. The record is from RNAcentral.